This is a long non-coding RNA of Eriocheir sinensis (Chinese mitten crab), 252 nucleotides long. RefSeq lists it as uncharacterized. The transcript is spliced from 2 exons. Lineage: Eukaryota; Metazoa; Arthropoda; Malacostraca; Decapoda; Varunidae. The record is from RefSeq and is a predicted model, not a curated record.
GGUGAGGCUUCCAUCCGGAGGCGAGGAGACAAGGGACAAGAGCGCAAGUCCGUUGCGGCGGAUUACAAGGCUAUUAUUAGACCCCUCAAUAAUUGUGAGUAUUAUUAGUUUGAUGUUGUGUCGUAGGAUAAGAUGACAUUUGGUGUAUCUGAUGUAGCUGUAAGUGUUGUAUUGUGUUGUCUGACAAGUGUUGAUGAGAUGUAUUCUUUACCUCGCUCAGGUUUACACGCAUAUUAAAAGCGAGUAAAACAA